RNAcentral lists this ribosomal RNA (301 nucleotides) under uncultured bacterium. RNAcentral describes it as "partial 16S ribosomal RNA". It matches the Rfam family "Bacterial small subunit ribosomal RNA", at positions 509 to 807 of the family's 1533-position model. The record is from RNAcentral.
CAGUAGCCGCGGUAAUACAGAGGGUGCGAGCGUUAAUCGGAUUUACUGGGCGUAAAGCGUGCGUAGGCGGCUUUUUAAGUCGGAUGUGAAAUCCCUGAGCUUAACUUAGGAAUUGCAUUCGAUACUGGGAAGCUAGAGUAUGGGAGAGGAUGGUAGAAUUCCAGGUGUAGCGGUGAAAUGCGUAGAGAUCUGGAGGAAUACCGAUGGCGAAGGCAGCCAUCUGGCCUAAUACUGACGCUGAGGUAAGAAAGCAUGGGGAGCAAACAGGAUUAGAUACCCCCGUAGUCCCUGUCUCUUAUAC